GUGGGGAAUCUUCCGCAAUGGACGAAAGUCUGACGGAGCAACGCCGCGUGAGUGAAGAAGGUUUUCGGAUCGUAAAGCUCUUUCGUUAGGGACGAACGUGCUCUUUGUGAAUAAUGAGGAGUAAUGACGGUACCUAAAUAAGAAGCCACGGCUAACUACGUGCCAGCAGCCGCGGUAAUACGUAGGUGGCAAGCGUUGUCCGGAAUUAUUGGGCGUAAAGCGCGCGCAGGCGGGAUAUCAAGUCUGUCUUAAAAGUGCGAGGCUCAACCUCGUGAGGGGACAGAAACUGGUAUUCUUGAGUGUCGGAGAGGAAAGUGGAAUUCCAAGUGUAGCGGUGAAAUGCGUAGAGAUUUGGAAGAACACCAGUGGCGAAGGCGACUUUCUGGACGAUGUCUGACGCUGAGGCGCGAAAGCUAGGGGAGCGAACGGGAUUAGAAACCCUGUAGUCC
This 449-nucleotide ribosomal RNA is filed under the name uncultured bacterium. RNAcentral's name for it is "partial 16S ribosomal RNA". It matches the Rfam family "Bacterial small subunit ribosomal RNA", at positions 354 to 796 of the family's 1533-position model. The record is from RNAcentral.